Molecule: ribosomal RNA, 400 nt
Filed under: uncultured bacterium
Lineage: Bacteria
Description: bacterial SSU rRNA
Rfam family: Bacterial small subunit ribosomal RNA
Source: RNAcentral
UUAGGAAUUUUGCGCAAUGGGGGAAACCCUGACGCAGCAACGCCGCGUGAGUGAAGAAGGCCCUUGGGUCGUAAAGCUCUUUCAGUAGGGAAGAAGUUGACGGUACCUACAGAAGAAGCACCGGCUAACUCCGUGCCAGCAGCCGCGGUAAUACGGAGGGUGCAAGCGUUAUUCGGAAUGACUGGGCGUAAAGCGCACGUAGGCGGCUUAUUAAGUCUGAUGUGAAAGCCCCGAACUCAAUUUGGGAAGUGCAUUGGAUACUGGUAGGCUAGAGUAUAGGAGAGGAGAGCGGAAUUCCAGGUGUAGAGGUGAAAUUCGUAGAUAUCUGGAGGAACAACGGAGGCGAAGGCGGCUCUCUGGACUAUUACUGACGCUGAGGUGCGAAAGCGUGGGGAGCGAA